GACGAACGUUUGCGGCGUGCUUAACACAUGCAAGUCGAACGGAAAGGCCCUGCUUUUGUGGGGUGCUCGAGUGGCGAACGGGUGAGUAACACGUGAGUAACCUGCCCUUGACUUUGGGAUAACUUCAGGAAACUGGGGCUAAUACCGGAUAGGAGCUCCUGCUGCAUGGUGGGGGUUGGAAAGUUUCGGCGGUUGGGGAUGGACUCGCGGCUUAUCAGCUUGUUGGUGGGGUAGUGGCUUACCAAGGCUUUGACGGGUAGCCGGCCUGAGAGGGUGACCGGCCACAUUGGGACUGAGAUACGGCCCAGACCCCUACGGGAGGCAGCAGUGGGGAAUAUUGCACAAUGGGCGGAAGCCUGAUGCAGCAACGCCGCGUGCGGGAUGACGGCCUUCGGGUUGUAAACCGCUUUCGCCUGUGACGAAGCGUGUGUGACGGUAAUGGGUAAAGAAGCACCGGCUAACUACGUGCCAGCAGCCGCGGUGAUACGUAGGGUGCGAGCGUUGUCCGGAUUUAUUGGGCGUAAAGGGCUCGUAGGUGGUUGAUCGCGUCGGAAGUGUAAUCUUGGGGCUUAACCCUGAGCGUGCUUUCGAUACGGGUUGACUUGAGGAAGGUAGGGGAGAAUGGAAUUCCUGGUGGAGCGGUGGAAUGCGCAGAUAUCAGGAGGAACACCAGUGGCGAAGGCGGUUCUCUGGGCCUUUCCUGACGCUGAGGAGCGAAAGCGUGGGGAGCGAACAGGCUUAGAUACCCUGGUAGUCCACGCUGUAAACGGUGGGUACUAGGUGUGGGGUCCAUUCCACGGGUUCCGUGCCGUAGCUAACGCUUUAAGUACCCCGCCUGGGGAGUACGGCCGCAAGGCUAAAACUCAAAGGAAUUGACGGGGCCCCGCACAAGCGGCGGAGCAUGCGGAUUAAUUCGAUGCAACGCGUAGAACCUUACCUGGGUUUGACAUGGAUCGGGAGUGCUCAGAGAUGGGUGUGCCUCUUUUGGGGUCGGUUCACAGGUGGUGCAUGGCUGUCGUCAGCUCGUGUCGUGAGAUGUUGGGUUAAGUCCCGCAACGAGCGCAACCCUUGUUCACUGUUGCCAGCACGUUAUGGUGGGGACUCAGUGGAGACCGCCGGGGUCAACUCGGAGGAAGGUGGGGAUGACGUCAAGUCAUCAUGCCCCUUAUGUCCAGGGCUUCACGCAUGCUACAAUGGCUGGUACAGAGAGUGGCGAGCCUGUGAGGGUGAGCGAAUCUCGGAAAGCCGGUCUCAGUUCGGAUUGGGGUCUGCAACUCGACCUCAUGAAGUCGGAGUCGCUAGUAAUCGCAGAUCAGCAACGCUGCGGUGAAUACGUUCCCGGGGCU
This 1346-nucleotide ribosomal RNA is filed under the name uncultured bacterium. RNAcentral describes it as "partial 16S ribosomal RNA". It matches the Rfam family "Bacterial small subunit ribosomal RNA", at positions 28 to 1381 of the family's 1533-position model. The record is from RNAcentral.